UACGGAGGAUCCAAGCGUUAUCCGGAAUUACUGGGCGUAAAGAGUUGCGUAGGUGGCAUGGUAAGUUGAUAGUGAAAGCGUCCGGCUCAACCGGAUACACAUUAUCAAAACUGCCAAGCUAGAGGACAAGAGAGGUCACUGGAAUUCCUAGUGUAGGAGUGAAAUCCGUAGAUAUUAGGAGGAACACCGAUGGCGUAGGCAGGUGACUGGCUUGUUCCUGACACUAAGGCACGAAAGCGUGGGGAGCGAACGGG
Molecule: ribosomal RNA, 254 nt
Filed under: uncultured bacterium
Lineage: Bacteria
Description: partial 16S ribosomal RNA
Rfam family: Bacterial small subunit ribosomal RNA
Source: RNAcentral